GUUGCCCUCCACUUUUAAGGCCGACUGACUUCUUCGGCUUGGACGAAGGAAGUAGUCAUGCUAAUCUAUUGAGCCGACUCAUUGAGCCAAGCUACCGGGAUCACCUUCUCGAGCUACUUCUGGAGUCUUCUAAGGAGUUCUGGAUGUAGCAUUUAUUAUCUACUAACUUCUGACAACCUUCCCGAGACAUCAUCCGCAUAGUUGCCCGAGAUCAAAUGCCAUGGCGAUGCAGCGUUAAAGAUCAUACCGAGCAGUUGAGCGGUUGGAUCAGUUCAAGCCAUCCAAGCUUCUACAUAAGAAGCUGGCGCUCAGUGGUCCUGCAUCUUUCCUUCCUCUAGGUAUUAAUAGAUACCUUCUUUGAUCUUCUUCUUUCUUUUCCUCUCGGCUCUCUCUGCCAUUUUCCUGCUUCAUGUUUCCGGAAACAUUUUCCAUGAUGAUAUUCACAGUGUAACAGGUUUAUCCACUUGAGGGCUUCAUCAAAAAAAAAAAAAAAAAACACCCGUGACGAGCAUGCUGAUUAGCAUUUAACGAGCGUGCUAGAAUGUUCAAUUCACUAGAAUCUGUAACUUCCAAUAAUGUUCCAAAAUAGUUUUAUAAUCUGCUGAAAUAAAAAUCCAAGACUUAACAAGA
Molecule: long non-coding RNA, 630 nt
Organism: Phoenix dactylifera (date palm)
Lineage: Eukaryota; Viridiplantae; Streptophyta; Magnoliopsida; Arecales; Arecaceae
Source: RefSeq, a predicted model, not a curated record